UACAGAGGUCUCGAGCGUUAGGCGGAAUCACUGGGCUUAAAGCGUGUGUAGGCGGAUCGGUAAGUACCUUGUGAAAUCCCACAGCUUAACUGUGGAACUGCUUGGUAUACUGCCGGUCUUGAGCCAGCUAGGGGCUACCGGAACAAAUGGUGGAGCGGUGAAAUGCGUAGAUAUCAGGAGGAACACCGGUGGCGAAGGCGAGUCUCUGGGCCGAUACUGACGCUGAGGAGCGAAAGCGUGGGGAGCGAACAGG
RNAcentral lists this ribosomal RNA (253 nucleotides) under uncultured bacterium. RNAcentral describes it as "partial 16S ribosomal RNA". It matches the Rfam family "Bacterial small subunit ribosomal RNA", at positions 524 to 776 of the family's 1533-position model. The record is from RNAcentral.